UUGGUGCCUUCGGGAACUCUGACACAGGUGCUGCAUGGCUGUCGUCAGCUCGUGUCGUGAGAUGGUUGGGUUAACGUCCCGUAACGAGCGCAACCUUGUCCUUAGUUACCAGCACGUUAUGGUGGGCACUCUAAGGAGACUGCCGGUGACAAACCGGAGGAAGGUGGGGAUGACGUCAAGUCAUCAUGGCCCUUACGGCCUGGGCUACACACGUGCUACAAUGGUCGGUACAAAGGGUUGCCAAGCCGCGAGGUGGAGCUAAUCCCAUAAAACCGAUCGUAGUCCGGAUCGCAGUCUGCAACUCGACUGCGUGAAGUCGGAAUCGCUAGUAAUCGUGAAUCAGAAUGUCACGGUGAAUACGUUCCCGGGCCUU
This 373-nucleotide ribosomal RNA is filed under the name uncultured Pseudomonas sp. RNAcentral describes it as "bacterial SSU rRNA". It matches the Rfam family "Bacterial small subunit ribosomal RNA", at positions 1011 to 1382 of the family's 1533-position model. Lineage: Bacteria; Pseudomonadati; Pseudomonadota; Gammaproteobacteria; Pseudomonadales; Pseudomonadaceae. The record is from RNAcentral.